RNAcentral lists this ribosomal RNA (424 nucleotides) under Vitreorana oyampiensis group sp. ABGD cluster 6. Its description in RNAcentral is "partial large subunit ribosomal RNA". It matches the Rfam family "Bacterial large subunit ribosomal RNA", at positions 1834 to 2439 of the family's 2925-position model. The record is from RNAcentral. Lineage: Eukaryota; Metazoa; Chordata; Amphibia; Anura; Centrolenidae.
CUUGACAUAUUAUAAGAGGUCCAGCCUGCCCAGUGACUCUGUUCAACGGCCGCGGUAUCCUAACCGUGCGAAGGUAGCGUAAUCACUUGUUCUUUAAAUGAGGACUAGUAUGAAUGGCACCACGAGGGUUAUACUGUCUCCUCUUUCUAAUCAGUGAAAUUAAUCUCCCCGUGAAGAAGCGAGGAUUAAGCUAUAAGACGAGAAGACCCUAUGGAGCUUUAAACAAAGUUACACCUGCAUCAAUUUAAUAUAAAUUUCAGAAAAUCUUCUUAGCCCAUGCAAAUUGUUUACUAGUUUUAGGUUGGGGUGACCGCGGAGCAAAAAGUAACCUCCACAUUGAAAGGAACCUAAUCCUUAGCUAAGAGCCACACCUCUAAGCACCAAUAAAAUGACAUCAAUUGACCCAAUAAUUUGAUCAACGAAC